GGGCGACGUGGGAGCUGCUCCAGGCGUCGAGUGGCGGACGGGUGAGUAAUACUUAGGAAUCUGCCCAGUAGUGGGGGACAACUCGGGGAAGCUCGAGCUAAUACCGCAUACGCCCUACGGGGGAAAGCGGGGGAUCUUCGGACCUCGCGCUAUUGGAUGAGCCUAAGUCGGAUUAGCUUGUUGGUAGGGUAACGGCCUACCAAGGCGACGAUCCGUAGCUGGUCUGAGAGGACGAUCAGCCACACUGGGGCUGAGACACGGCCCAGGCUCCUACGGGAGGCAGCGGUGGGGAAUAUUGGACAAUGGGCGCAAGCCUGAUCCAGCAAUGCCGCGUGUGUGAAGAAGGCCUGCGGGUUGUAAAGCACUUUCAGUAGUGAAGAAAAGCCUAGGGUAAUACCCCUGAGUCCUGACGUUAACUACAGAAGAAGCACCGGCUAACUCCGUGCCAGCAGCCGCGGUAAUACGGAGGGUGCAAGCGUUAAUCGGAAUUACUGGGCGUAAAGCGCGCGUAGGCGGCUUUGUAAGUCGGAUGUGAAAGCCCCGGGCUCAACCUGGGAAUUGCAUUCGAUACUGCAGAGCUAGAGUAAGGUAGAGGAAAGUGGAAUUUCCGGUGUAGCGGUGAAAUGCGUAGAUAUCGGAAGGAACACCAG
Molecule: ribosomal RNA, 650 nt
Filed under: uncultured bacterium
Lineage: Bacteria
Description: bacterial SSU rRNA
Rfam family: Bacterial small subunit ribosomal RNA
Source: RNAcentral